This 259-nucleotide ribosomal RNA is filed under the name uncultured bacterium. RNAcentral describes it as "partial 16S ribosomal RNA". It matches the Rfam family "Bacterial small subunit ribosomal RNA", at positions 793 to 1055 of the family's 1533-position model. The record is from RNAcentral.
GUCCACGCCGUAACGAUGUCGACUAGCCGUUGGUCCUAUUUACAGGAUUAGUGGCGCAGCUAACGCAUUAAGUCGACCGCCUGGGAGUACGGCCGCAAGGUUAAACUCAAAUGAAUUGACGGGCCCGCACAAGCGGUGGAGCAUGUGGUUUAAUUCGAUGCAACGCGAAGAACCUUACCUACCCUUGACAUCCAGAGAAUCUGUUAGAGAUAGUAGAGUGCCUUCGGGAGCUCUGAGACAGGUGCUGCAUGGCUGUCGU